AGCAGUAGCCGCGGUAAUACAGAGGGUGCGAGCGUUAAUCGGAUUUACUGGGCGUAAAGCGUGCGUAGGCGGCUUUUUAAGUCGGAUGUGAAAUCCCUGAGCUUAACUUAGGAAUUGCAUUCGAUACUGGGAAGCUAGAGUAUGGGAGAGGAUGGUAGAAUUCCAGGUGUAGCGGUGAAAUGCGUAGAGAUCUGGAGGAAUACCGAUGGCGAAGGCAGCCAUCUGGCCUAAUACUGACGCUGAGGUACGAAAGCAUGGGGAGCAAACAGGAUUAGAUACCCGAGUAGUCCCUGUCUCUUAUAA
Molecule: ribosomal RNA, 303 nt
Filed under: uncultured bacterium
Lineage: Bacteria
Description: partial 16S ribosomal RNA
Rfam family: Bacterial small subunit ribosomal RNA
Source: RNAcentral